GAUGAACGCUGGCGGCGUGCCUAAUACAUGCAAGUCGAGCGAACAGACGCGGAGCUUGCUCCUCUGACGUUAGCGGCGGACGGGUGAGUAACACGUGGAUAACCUACCUAUAAGACUGGGAUAACUUCGGGAAACCGGAGCUAAUACCGGAUAAUAUAUUGAACCGCAUGGUUCAAUAGUGAAAGACGGUUUUGCUGUCACUUAUAGAUGGAUCCGCGCCGCAUUAGCUAGUUGGUAAGGUAACGGCUUACCAAGGCAACGAUGCGUAGCCGACCUGAGAGGGGGAGCGGCCACACUGGAACUGAGACACGGUCCAGACUCCUACAGGAGGCAGCAGUGGGGAAUCUUCCGCAAUGGGCGAAAGCCUGACGGAGCAACGCCGCGUGAGUGAUGAAGGUCUUCGGAGCGUAAAACUCUGUUAUGAGGGAAGAACAAAUGUGUAAGUAAUUAGGCACGUUUGGACGGUACCUAAUCAGAAAGCCACGGCUAACUACGU
This 496-nucleotide ribosomal RNA is filed under the name uncultured bacterium. RNAcentral describes it as "partial 16S ribosomal RNA". It matches the Rfam family "Bacterial small subunit ribosomal RNA", at positions 28 to 506 of the family's 1533-position model. The record is from RNAcentral.